UCAAACUUGGUCAUUUAGAGGAAGUAAAAGUCGUAACAAGGUCUCCGUUGGUGAACCAGCGGAGGGAUCAUUAAAGGGUCGCGUGCAUUGCUCGCGGCUUACUGCCAAACCCUAUGUGAACUUACCACUGUUGCCUCGGCGGCGCCGCGGCUACCCUGGAGAGCUACCCUGUAGCCAUUUACCCUGUAGAUGGCUACCCUGUAGCUACCCUGUAGCUCGCACGUAAAGGCCCGUCAAAGGACCCUAAACUCUAUUUUGACUUGGUAUCUCUGAGUAAAUCAACUUAAUAAGUUAAAACUUUCAACAACGGAUCUCUUGGUUCUGGCAUCGAUGAAGAACGCAGC
RNAcentral lists this unclassified non-coding RNA (344 nucleotides) under uncultured fungus. RNAcentral describes it as "partial contains small subunit ribosomal RNA, internal transcribed spacer 1, and 5.8S ribosomal RNA". The stretch from base 1 to 73 matches the Rfam family "Eukaryotic small subunit ribosomal RNA", at positions 1759 to 1831 of the family's 1831-position model. The record is from RNAcentral. Lineage: Eukaryota; Fungi.